Molecule: ribosomal RNA, 497 nt
Filed under: uncultured bacterium
Lineage: Bacteria
Description: partial 16S ribosomal RNA
Rfam family: Bacterial small subunit ribosomal RNA
Source: RNAcentral
GAUGAACGCUGGCGGCGUGCCUAAUACAUGCAAGUCGAGCGAACAGACGAGGAGCUUUCUCCUCUUACGUUAGCGGCUGACGUGUGAGUAACACGUGUAUAACCUACCUAUAAGACUGGGAUAACUUCGUGAAUCCGGAUCUAAUACCGGAUAAUAUAUUGAACCGCAUGGUUCAAUAGUUAAUUACGGUUUUUCUUUCUCUUAUUGAUUUUUCCGCUCCGCAUUAGCUAGUUGGUAAGGUAACGGCUUACCAAGGCCACGAUGCGUAUCCGACCUGAGAGGGUGAGCGGCGACACUGGAACUGAGACACGGACCAGAAACCUACGGGAGGCAGCAGUAGGGAAUAUGACGCAAUGGGCGAAAGCCUGACGGAGCAAAGCCGCGUGAGUGAAGAAGGUCUUCGGAUCGUAAAACUCUGUAAGUAGGGAAGAAAAAAUGUGUAAGAAAAUAUGGAAGUAUUGACGGUACCUAAAAAGAAAGCAACGGCUAACUACGUG